AUGGCUCAGGAUGAACGCUAGCUACAGGCUUAACACAUGCAAGUCGAGGGGCAGCAUGAGAUUAGCUUGCUAAUCUUGAUGGCGACCGGCGCACGGGUGAGUAACGCGUAUCCAACUCCCCCUACUCAGGCAUAGCCCGGUGAAAACCGGAUUAACUCCUGAUAGUUUCACUAGAUGGCAUCUGACGGUGAAUAAAGCUCAGCGGUAAGGGAUGGGGAUGCGUCUGAUUAGCUUGUUGGCGGGGUAACGGCCCACCAAGGCGACGAUCAGUAGGGGUUCUGAGAGGAAGGUCCCCCACAUUGGAACUGAGACACGGUCCAAACUCCUACGGGAGGCAGCAGUGAGGAAUAUUGGUCAAUGGGGCGCGAGCCUGAACCAGCCAAGUAGCGUGCAAGGGACGACGGCCCUAUGGGUUGUAAACUGCUUUUGUAUGGGAAUAAAGUCAGGGACGUGUCCCUGUUUGCAUGUACCAUAAGAAUAAGGACCGGCUAAUUCCGUGCCAGCAGCAGC
This 510-nucleotide ribosomal RNA is filed under the name uncultured bacterium. Its description in RNAcentral is "bacterial SSU rRNA". It matches the Rfam family "Bacterial small subunit ribosomal RNA", at positions 19 to 518 of the family's 1533-position model. The record is from RNAcentral.